GUGGGUAAUGAAAAGAAACAACAGGGUGUUUUUGAUUAAUAAAAAGAAGAUUUGGACAUAGAAGAUUUAGAGCAGAAUAUGAAAAAACAAAGUAAGAGAGGGGGGUUUAUCUCAAAAGAAAAUUAACAAAAUUAAAGAUAACCAUAUCAAGCAGAAGAAAAACCCGAGUGGAGACAAAACCUCAACUCAAGCAUUGUCAAGGAUAACAAGG
Molecule: long non-coding RNA, 211 nt
Filed under: Capsicum annuum
Lineage: Eukaryota; Viridiplantae; Streptophyta; Magnoliopsida; Solanales; Solanaceae
Description: long non-coding RNA (CANN_LNC002697)
Source: RNAcentral